CCUACGGGAGGCAGCAGUGAGGAAUAUUGGUCAAUGGACGAGAGUCUGAACCAGCCAAGUAGCGUGAAGGAUGACUGCCCUAUGGGUUGUAAACUUCUUUUAUAUGGGAAUAAAAUGUUACACGUGUGGGAUUUUGUAUGUACCAUAUGAAUAAGGAUCGGCUAACUCCGUGCCAGCAGCCGCGGUAAUACGGAGGAUCCGAGCGUUAUCCGGAUUUAUUGGGUUUAAAGGGAGCGUAGGUGGAUUGUUAAGUCAGUUGUGAAAGUUUGCGGCUCAACCGUAAAAUUGCAGUUGAAACUGGCAGUCUUGAGUACAGUAGAGGUGGGUGGAAUUCGUGGUGUAGCGGUGAAAUGCUUAGAUAUCACGAAGAACUCCGAUUGCGAAGGCAGUUCACUGGACUGCAACUGACACUGAGGCUCGAAAGUGUGGGUAUCAAACAGGAUUAGAUACCCCUGUAGUC
RNAcentral lists this ribosomal RNA (460 nucleotides) under uncultured bacterium. Its description in RNAcentral is "partial 16S ribosomal RNA". It matches the Rfam family "Bacterial small subunit ribosomal RNA", at positions 338 to 795 of the family's 1533-position model. The record is from RNAcentral.